Mauremys mutica (yellowpond turtle) is the source of this 348-nucleotide long non-coding RNA. RefSeq lists it as uncharacterized. The transcript has 3 exons. The record is from RefSeq and is a predicted model, not a curated record. NCBI's taxonomy places the organism in Eukaryota, Metazoa, Chordata, Testudines, Geoemydidae.
GAGGUCUCCGCAUUGUUGUCACCUGCAUUGUCCCACCCUUUCCCCUAGGAAGUGGCGGCUUCUCAGUGGUGCUGUACAAGUGGGUGUGACGUUUGUGGCUGCGAUAGGCUCAGCUCUGACAGGAGAUACCAAAGAAACUGAAUUCAGAACUUGGCAACCUAACUGGAUAAUAAAACUGUAGUCCCAAUCCUGUGGAACUCUCACUGAUGUCUAUGGAAGUUCUGCAUGUGGAGAGCUUACGGAAUCAGGCCAUAAUGUGGUAUCCUUUCCUUUGAUUUGAUUCGAUUCAGAUUAAAAGUUGAUGUAAAUGACAGUUAAGAGCGAGAAUGUGGUUUCAAUUCACAGUAG